AGGGCUGGUAGUCUGCACCUGUAGUUCCAGCUUGAUUCCAGGAGAAAGGAUCGCUUGAUUCCAGGAGUUCUACACUGUAGUGCACUGUGUAAAUAGAUGGGGUGUUCGCGCUUAAGUGCAGGAGGGAGGGGCCCCCCAGGUUGCCUAAGGAGGAAUGUACUGGCCCAGAUCAGAAACAGAGCAUAUCAAAACUCCCAUGCUGAUCAGUAGUGGGAUCAUGCCUGUGAACAGCCACUGUGCUCCAGCCUGGGCAACAUAGGGAGACCCUGUCUCU
Molecule: signal recognition particle RNA, 274 nt
Filed under: Saimiri boliviensis boliviensis (Bolivian squirrel monkey)
Lineage: Eukaryota; Metazoa; Chordata; Mammalia; Primates; Cebidae
Description: Metazoan signal recognition particle RNA (ENSSBOG00000003628.1)
Rfam family: Metazoan signal recognition particle RNA
About the family: The signal recognition particle (SRP) is a universally conserved ribonucleoprotein. It is involved in the co-translational targeting of proteins to membranes.
Source: RNAcentral